GUUCAAAACAGCCUCGUCUUAGUUGCUAUUGCACCUUUACUCAUGUACUAGGUAGGGUGUUUGGUGCAUGCCGCAGGAUGCCGAGCCGUAGCUGAUUCGUGCCAAACAUUUGGAAGACUUGGGCAUAAAAAUACACUGAGCUUCGACGUCUCAGUUGCGGCAAGAUUAUACAUUUUGGCAUCUCUGGAUUGAAAUUCUUGUGUGUCGCAAGGAACACAGAACUCCGUUGCGUUUGUGCUAUUAUCAGGAAUUACAGGCAGAGUGGAGAAAAUGAGGAAAAAGAAUUAUAUAUAGCAGGAGCACCGCACCACCAAGGGGACUCAGGCUCAGCCAGCGAGGGCGUCGGCACCGGCGACGAUCUCGAGGAUCUCCCCGGUGAUCUUGGCCUGGCGCUGUCGGUUGUAGGCGAUGGAGAGGUUCUUGCGGAGCUCGAUGGCGUUGUCGGUGGCGCUGCUCAUGGCGCUCAUCCGGGCGGCGAGCUCGCUGGCGAGCGACUCCUGCAGGGCACGGAGGAUCUGGCUGUUGAGGUAGAGCGGGAGCAGCGCGUCCAGGAUCUGCACGGGGUCCUGCUCGAACUGCACCACGGGGGAGAAGGGCUGCGUCUCGAUCUUCACCUUCUCGCGCUCCACGGUGAGCUUCCCCUCCUUGGUGGUGAGGCGGAAGAGCUCGUCCUCGGUGGCGUCCACGCAGACGCCGUUGACGUCGCAGAUCUCGCCCUUGGGCGACAUGGGGAGCAGCGUCUGGAUGAUGGGGUCGGAGCGCACCAGCGACACGAACUUGGAGUAGAGCAGCUCCACCUUGUCCACCUCCUCGGAGACGAAGAGCGAGUAGACGAGGUCGCAGAUGGCCUGCGAGUCCUUGACGGUGGGCACGCUGCUCACCUCUAGAUCGCGCUCCAACGGGAUGUAGGGGCGGCGCUGGAAGUAGGCGUUGCCCUUCUUCCCCACGCUGACGACGGUGUACUGGAGGCCCAGCUGCUUGAGCUCAUCGAUGCGGGUUUCCGCCUUCUUGAGCACGUUGUUGUUGAAGCUCCCGCAGAGGC
Non-coding RNA from Zea mays, 1042 nucleotides. RefSeq lists it as uncharacterized. Lineage: Eukaryota; Viridiplantae; Streptophyta; Magnoliopsida; Poales; Poaceae. The record is from RefSeq and is marked validated. The transcript has a single exon.